CACGUAGGCGGAACAGAAAGUCAGAGGUGAAAUCCCAGGGCUCAACCUUGGAACUGCCUUUGAAACUCCUGUUCUUGAGGUCGAGAGAGGUGAGUGGAAUUCCGAGUGUAGAGGUGAAAUUCGUAGAUAUUCGGAGGAACACCAGUGGCGAAGGCGGCUAACUGGCUCGAUACUGACGCUGAGGUGCGAAAGCGUGGGGAGCAAACA
Molecule: ribosomal RNA, 207 nt
Filed under: uncultured bacterium
Lineage: Bacteria
Description: partial 16S ribosomal RNA
Rfam family: Bacterial small subunit ribosomal RNA
Source: RNAcentral